RNAcentral lists this RNase P RNA (539 nucleotides) under Candidatus Berkiella cookevillensis. Its description in RNAcentral is "Legionella-like amoebal pathogen CC99 Bacterial RNase P class A". It matches the Rfam family "Bacterial RNase P class A". From Rfam's summary of the family: Ribonuclease P (RNase P) is a ubiquitous endoribonuclease, found in archaea, bacteria and eukarya as well as chloroplasts and mitochondria. Its best characterised activity is the generation of mature 5'-ends of tRNAs by cleaving the 5'-leader elements of precursor-tRNAs. The record is from Rfam by way of RNAcentral. Lineage: Bacteria; Pseudomonadati; Pseudomonadota; Gammaproteobacteria; Candidatus Berkiellales; Candidatus Berkiellaceae.
AGAGUUGGCCAGACAGUCGCUAUGUGAAAAACAUAGAGGAAAGUCCGGGCUCCGCAGGGCAAAGUGCCAGAUAACGCCUGGGAAGUGUGAGCUUACGGAAAGUGCAACAGAAAGCAAACCGCCGAAGUCACAAUCUUGAUCUUUUAGAUUAAGAUAUUAGCCGAGAGAUUGGACUUUUUGAGUUCAAAACCGAAGACUAAAACUACUCAACGUAGUUGAAUUUUAGGCAAGGCAUCGAGGCGAGGAGUAGUCGGAGUGUACAUAAAAGUACAUGACGAUUGCGAAUCGCCAAAGAUAACGAAGCAUAAAGUUCAAAUACGAAGAGUAGGACUGGUAAGGGUGAAAGGGUGCGGUAAGAGCGCACCGCGUAGGUGGCAACAUUCUACGGCACGGUAAACCCCACUUGGAGCAAGACCAAAUAGGAACCUAAUAAUGCUGCCCGCAUUGGGUUCGGGUAGGUCGCAUGAGUCAUAUGGCGACAUAUGGCCUAGAUUAAUGAUUGUCCAUGACAGAACCCGGCUUAUCGGCCAACUCUAUCU